Molecule: long non-coding RNA, 1758 nt
Organism: Lolium perenne
Lineage: Eukaryota; Viridiplantae; Streptophyta; Magnoliopsida; Poales; Poaceae
Source: RefSeq, a predicted model, not a curated record
ACCCUGCCAUUGCCAAGAUCGGGCACGAUACAAGAUCGCCGUGUCCAGCAGUAAUGUCUGAAACAGCCACACAAUGCAGGGGAAAUGUGGGCGGCAGCGAGGCUGGUGGGUGGUGGCAUGAGGAUGGUGGAGUCCCUGAGACUGAGAGGGAGGCUGCUCGUGGAGAGGGUGGCGUCCAAGGCGGUCAAGGAGGAUGCCGACUAGCUCGCCACCAGGCUUGCAACUAAAUGGGGAACUAUCUGAAUACGGUUGAGACAAAGCAUGCAUCCCAUGAUGAGCAAGGAAAUUGACACCAUACAGGUACAUAUGUAUGUUCAAACAAAGCUACUGUACUAUAUUUUUUUUUUUUGAUUUGCUGCUCCCAGGUUUAAAACAAAAUGCAUAUGGUUGUUUCUCUUGGCUAGAUUGGGAAAAGAGGCAGAGGUAAGGUUCAGUCUUACUAACCAUAUCACAACAGAUAUUGGUCACCACAUGGCCAUGAGAAAACCUAUCUAUCAUUCCAACAAAUUUAUGCAUGUAGCCUACGCUCCACUCUCUAUGCACACAUUCUAUAUAUGUACAUUACAGCACCAGCAUAUAUCAAAUCACAAGGCAAGGAAAUAACUUCUACAAUUGAUUACAGAAAUAUCUAGUUUAGUUGCAUGCAUGUCAACUGGGAAGAGACAAAAGCAACAAGAUAAUCAUCAUAUAUUGAAAAUAAAUAAAAACCAGCAUGCCUAAUCAAAGCUGAAUACGUAUACAAGCUAUUGCUGCUUUUUAAACUUAUUGUUGGAUCUAAAGAAAACUUAACUUAACCGUGCUAUUGAACUGUGUAAUGGUGUUAGAUAUUUUAAAUUAUAUUACACAUAACUAAAUUUAUUUGAUGACUUCGUAUCAAGUUUGCACAUCGACUUAGAUGAAAUAUAGGGUAAGUGCUUCCCCGUGAACGCAUUUUGGCUUGGUCAUUUGAAGCAAUAAGUGAAUGUAGGAACUAUUAGUUAGCAAAUUAUCAUUCCUUUUGAGUUUGUGUACAAGGAACAUGAUUGAGGAAGCAAGAAGGAAUGCAAGGCUGCAAAAUUUGAGCGGUUCAAGCAAGAAUGUAUCGAAAGGAGACAAAAAGGCUGAAUAUUGAGCAAUCUGAGAAACUAAAGAGAGAAUGUAAUAGAGCCUUGUUUAACCCGGUACUUCACUACACGGGUACACUCGAUCCAGUAUCCAUCUAUAGAGAUAAUUGAAGAGCAUAAGCAUGAUUACUCCAUUAACGACAUUGUUCACUUAGUGCUGCUGCAACGCUAUAAAAUUUCUUUCAUCUGAUAUAUGUGAAAAAAUAGUGCAUGGAAGAAAACUAACUGAGCUUGGCCUUAUUGUACACAAAUAAAUAUAAGCAAUAAACUGCAUGGGCGAUAGAUCAUUUUGCAGAGAAUUUCAGGCUCACUCUGUAGAUAUAGUAGCUUGUUGCCCAAUUGAGAAUCCCAACAGUCAGAUACAGUAGACAGAUAUAUCCACUAUGAUGGCUUGUUUCUCAAUCAAUAAAAUAGGAACCUUAGCAGUUCUCUGUAAACAAUAUAGAUAAGGUACCCACAAAAAAUGAAGCAUGUAAGUCAUGUAGAGUAAGAAACAUUGGCGUUGCUAAAAAAGCCUACAAAGGGGGAAGUGGCUACUUACAAGCUGGGUGUUCUUGUUAACUGAACAAUUACUCAAGGGGUCAUUUAUCUUGAUUGUUCAAGGCAUAGAGAAUAUCAAUUUGAAGUGAACCACCUACAUGUUAGCAUUGCAUAU